RNAcentral lists this microRNA precursor (60 nucleotides) under Danio rerio (zebrafish). RNAcentral describes it as "Dre-Mir-92-P2d_pre stem-loop". Lineage: Eukaryota; Metazoa; Chordata; Actinopteri; Cypriniformes; Danionidae. The record is from RNAcentral. RNAcentral also lists the same sequence under 1 other name.
AGGCGGAGACUUGGGCAGCUGCCGUCAUUCCCAGAAGGCAUUGCACUUGUCUCGGUCUGA